UUCGAGGAUUUUUUUUUUUAAAGCCUAUGUGAGUACUAUUGUUUUGGUUGCAGCUUUAGCCCGCUCAAUAUAUUCUAAAAGACAGCCAUGAUUGAUGAAAUUUACGACGGAACAGAAUUGGAGUCAGAUAAAAAGGGAAAUACUUUUGUGUGCAGGAGGAAAUACUAGGUCCUGCUCUUCUUUGUAUGCAGGCUUGUCCUAUGUUUCUAAGGUUCUGGACCCCUGUUCUUUUGGUGCAUUUCUUGUGAAACAUCACUGGAACUCUCUCCUCUUUGUCGUUUUGAGUGCAGGCUAAGCAUAGACGAGGCCAUUACCUUUGUGAACCAAAAUAAAAAAUAUUGCUAUGGAACAUCUAUCUUCACGGGCUCCGGGGCACUUUUGAGGAAAUUCCAGAUUGAGAUUGAAACAAGGCAGGUUUGCAUAAAUACUGCUGUUCCUGCUCCUUUGCCCCUCUUCUCUCUCGCAAGCUCAGAAUUGUCUUUCGUUGGGGAUCUCAAUGCCAAUGGCAAAGCUGGUGUACACUUUUACACCCAAGUAAACACAGUGACUCGGCAGUGGAGGGAAUUCUCCAGUAGUGGAGGAGGAACACCAACAGUAUCAUCGAACUAUCUGCAAAGUAAUGAUGGACUAUGUGUCCAUAAUAUGGCUUUACACCUAAAGAAUUUCCCAGUUUGUGAUGAUGAAUCCCUGGGAGAACAUUCAAGGGAUAUCCCAAGUGUUAGUGAUAUAUCCCCACCGACAAUACCAACAUCUGAUGGAUCUCAUUGGACAUUGAACUUUUGAAUAGCAACUAUAUAUAUUUGGAACUCGAAAAAUGUGAAUAUUAGUUACAGUUUUGUAUGCUAUAGGAUUAAUUUUAGGGAUGAAAUUAUUUUUCACUUAACAUUAACGGUCAAAUGAUUCUCGCAAUUAUGUACGAUGAAACGACAA
Molecule: long non-coding RNA, 930 nt
Organism: Lycium barbarum (goji berry)
Lineage: Eukaryota; Viridiplantae; Streptophyta; Magnoliopsida; Solanales; Solanaceae
Exons: 4
Source: RefSeq, a predicted model, not a curated record